Molecule: small RNA, 174 nt
Filed under: Paenibacillus sp. P22
Lineage: Bacteria; Bacillati; Bacillota; Bacilli; Caryophanales; Paenibacillaceae
Description: Pseudomonas sRNA P4
Source: RNAcentral
GAAGAAUUUCGACCAUCGUCAGAGACGACUAUGGCAUUUCCGCUCGCUUGAGCGGGGGCGGCCAUGUGAUUUCCGUGAUGGACGAAAUGAACGCUCUCAAAUUUCACGACUUUCUAAACCGGCUUGAUCAGGAAAAGGCGAUUUUCAAUUGGGAAUUGAACCUGACCCUGGAAG